Molecule: ribosomal RNA, 690 nt
Filed under: uncultured Alphaproteobacteria bacterium
Lineage: Bacteria; Pseudomonadati; Pseudomonadota; Alphaproteobacteria
Description: bacterial SSU rRNA
Rfam family: Bacterial small subunit ribosomal RNA
Source: RNAcentral
AAUGUAGGUAUCUGCCUUUUGGUUUGGAAUAACACGAGGAAACUUGUGCUAAUACCGGAUAAGCCUUCACAGGGAAAGUUUUAACGCCAAAAGAUGAGCCUGCACUUGAUUAGCUAGUUGGUAAGGUAAUGGCUUACCAAGGCUACGAUCAAUAGCUGUUCUUAGAGGAAGAUCAGCCACAUUGGGACUGAGACACGGCCCAAACUCCUACGGGAGGCAGCAGUGGGGAAUCUUGCACAAUGGGGGAAACCCUGAUGCAGCGAUGCCGCGUGAGUGAAGAAGGCCUUUGGGUUGUAAAGCUCUUUCGUCGGGGAAGAAAAUGACUGUACCCGAAUAAGAAGGUCCGGCUAACUUCGUGCCAGCAGCCGCGGUAAUACGAAGGGACCUAGCGUAGUUCGGAAUUACUGGGCUUAAAGAGCACGUAGGUGGUUAAAAAAGUUGGUGGUGAAAUCCCAAGGCUUAACCUUGGAACUGCCACCAAAACUUUUUAGCUAGAGUAUGAUUGAGGUAAGCGGAAUUUCUAGUGUAGAGGUGAAAUUCGUAGAUAUUAGAAAGAACACCAAUUGCGAAGGCAGCUUUCUGGAUCAUUACUGACACUGAGGUGCGAAAGCAUGGGUAGCGAAGAGGAUUAGAUACCCUCGUAGUCCAUGCCGUAAACGAUGUGUGCUAGACGUUGGGAAUUUUAUUUCU